Molecule: unclassified non-coding RNA, 324 nt
Filed under: soil metagenome
Description: partial contains 5.8S ribosomal RNA, internal transcribed spacer 2, and large subunit ribosomal RNA
Rfam family: 5.8S ribosomal RNA (bases 1-120)
Source: RNAcentral
GAUGAAGGACGUAGCGAAAUGCGAUAAGUAGUGUGAAUUGCAGAAUUCAGUGAAUCAUCGAAUCUUUGAACGCACAUUGCGCCCCUUGGUAUUCCAUGGGGCAUGCCUGUUCGAGCGUCAUUUGUACCUUCAAGCUUUGCUUGGUGUUGGGUGUUUGUCCCUCGGGACUCGCCUUAAAGUCAUUGGCAGCCAGUGUUUUGGUUUUGAAGCGCAGCACAAGUCGCGAUUCAAGGCUAUCCGCCCGCUUCCACAAGCCUUUUUCACUUUUGACCUCGGAUCAGGUAGGGAUACCCGCUGAACUUAAGCAUAUCAAUAAGCGGAGGA